Molecule: long non-coding RNA, 91 nt
Organism: Varanus komodoensis (Komodo dragon)
Lineage: Eukaryota; Metazoa; Chordata; Lepidosauria; Squamata; Varanidae
Exons: 3
Source: RefSeq, a predicted model, not a curated record
GCUGCGAUCUUUCUGGAAAAAGAAGCCAAAUCUAUUGAUACAAGAUGGUGAAUAUAUGCCUCAACAGAAAAAGAAAAAGAUCUUGGAAUUA